UACGGGGGGGCAAGCGUUGUUCGGAAUUACUGGGCGUAAAGGGCUUGUAGGUGGCCAACUAAGUCAGACGUGAAAUCCCUCGGCUUAACCGGGGAACUGCGUCUGAUACUGGAUGGCUUGAGUGUGGGAGAGGGAUGCGGAAUUCCAGGUGUAGCGGUGAAAUGCGUAGAUAUCUGGAGGAACACCGGUGGCGAAGGCGGCAUCCUGGACCAUAACUGACACUGAUAAGCGAAAGCCAGGGGAGCAAACGGG
This 252-nucleotide ribosomal RNA is filed under the name uncultured prokaryote. RNAcentral describes it as "partial 16S ribosomal RNA". It matches the Rfam family "Bacterial small subunit ribosomal RNA", at positions 524 to 776 of the family's 1533-position model. The record is from RNAcentral.